This 72-nucleotide transfer RNA is filed under the name Saccharomycopsis fibuligera. Its description in RNAcentral is "tRNA-Gln". It matches the Rfam family "tRNA". Rfam says of the family: Transfer RNA (tRNA) molecules are approximately 80 nucleotides in length. Their secondary structure includes four short double-helical elements and three loops (D, anti-codon, and T loops). Lineage: Eukaryota; Fungi; Ascomycota; Saccharomycetes; Ascoideales; Saccharomycopsidaceae. The record is from RNAcentral. RNAcentral also lists the same sequence under 1 other name.
UGAGUCGUUGACUAAUUGGUAAGUCCGUUGAUUUUGAGUCAAUUUAUACUAGUUCGAACCUAGUCGAUUCAA